CUAGAGAUCGGAAGCGAGAAUGUUGACAUGAGUAGCGACAAACAGGGUGAGAGACCCUGUCGCCGAAAGUCCAAGGGUUCCUGCUUAAAGCUAAUCUGAGCAGGGUAAGCCGGCCCCUAAGGCGAGGCCGAAAGGCGUAGUCGAUGGGAACCAGGUUAAUAUUCCUGGGCCAGGAGGAUGUGACGGAUCUCGACGGUAGUUUGCCCUUAUCGGAUUGGGUGAGCUGCUUAGAGGUUCCUGGAAAUAGCCCUCCACAGGACCGUACCCCAAACCGACACAGGUGGACUGGUAGAGAAUACCAAGGCGCUUGAGAGAACCACAUCAAAGGAACUCGGCAAAAUGCUCCCGUAAGUUCGCGAGAAGGGAGCCCCGUCUGUAGGCAACUAUGGGCGGGGGGCACAAACCAGGGGGUGGCGACUGUUUACUUAAAACACAGGGCUGUGCGAAGCCGUAAGGCGACGUAUACAGUCUGACGCCUGCCCGGUGCUGGAAGGUUAAAAGGAGGGGUGCAAGCUCUGAAUUGAAGCCCCAGUAAACGGCGGCCGUAACAAUAACGGUCCUAAGGUAGCGAAAUUCCUUGUUGGGUAAGUUCCGACCUGCACGAAUGGCGUAACGAUCUCCCCGCUGUCUCUGAUGUGGACUCAGCGAAAUUGAACUGUGUGUCAAGAUGCACACUUCCCGCGGUUAGACGGAAAGACCCCAUGAACCUUUACUCCAGCUUUGCACUGGCAUCAGGAUUGUGAUGUGCAGGAUAGGUGGUAGGCAUCGAAGCAGAGACGCCAGUUUCUGUGGAGCCUCCCUUGAUAUACCACCCUUCGCACUCUUGAUGUCUAACCGCGGCCCGUUAUCCGGGUCCGGGACCAUGCAUGGUGGGGAGUUUGACUGGGCGGUCGCCUCCCAAACAGUAACGGAGGCGCGCGAAGGUUGGCUCAGAGCGGUCGGAAAUCGCUCGUUGAGUGCAAUGGCAGAGGCCAGCCUGACUGCAAGACUGACAAGUCGAGCAGAGACGAAAGUCGGCCAUAGUGAUCCGGUGGUCCCAAGUGGGAGGGCCAUCGCUCAACGGAUAAAAGGUACUCUGGGGAUAACAGGCUGAUGAUGCCCAAGAGUCCAUAUCGACGGCAUCGUUUGGCACCUCGAUGUCGGCUCAUCUCAUCCUGGGGCUGGAGCAGGUCCCAAGGGUAUGGCUGUUCGCCAUUUAAAGAGGUACGUGAGCUGGGUUUAGAACGUCGUGAGACAGUUCGGUCCCUAUCUGCCGUGGGUGUAGGAGACUUGAGAAGAGUUGCCCCUAGUACGAGAGGACCGGGGUGAACGUUCCACUGGUGGACCAGUUGUCGUGCCAACGGCAGUGCUGGGUAGCUAUGAACGGACAGGAUAACCGCUGAAGGCAUCUAAGCGGGAAGCCCCCUUCAAAACAAGGUCUCCCUUGAGAGCCGUGGAAGACCACCACGUCGAUAGGCCAGAGGUGUAAGUGCAGCAAUGCAUUCAGCUGACUGGUACUAAUUGCUCC
Molecule: ribosomal RNA, 1507 nt
Filed under: metagenome
Description: bacterial LSU rRNA
Rfam family: Bacterial large subunit ribosomal RNA
Source: RNAcentral